Molecule: ribosomal RNA, 215 nt
Filed under: uncultured bacterium
Lineage: Bacteria
Description: partial 16S ribosomal RNA
Rfam family: Bacterial small subunit ribosomal RNA
Source: RNAcentral
UAUCGGAACGUACCCAAGAGUGGGGGAUAACGUAGCGAAAGUUACGCUAAUACCGCAUACGAUCUAAGGAUGAAAGUGGGGGAUCGCAAGACCUCAUGCUCCUGGAGCGGCCGAUAUCUGAUUAGCUAGUUGGUGAGGUAAAGGCUCACCAAGGCGACGAUCAGUAGCUGGUCUGAGAGGACGACCAGCCACACUGGGACUGAGACACGGCCCAG